This 60-nucleotide transfer RNA is filed under the name marine eukaryotic metagenome. It matches the Rfam family "tRNA", at positions 7 to 64 of the family's 71-position model. From Rfam's summary of the family: Transfer RNA (tRNA) molecules are approximately 80 nucleotides in length. Their secondary structure includes four short double-helical elements and three loops (D, anti-codon, and T loops). The record is from RNAcentral.
GGUAGCUCAGUGGUAGAGCAAUCGGCUGUUAACCGAUUGGUCGCUGGUUCGAAUCCAGCC